Molecule: ribosomal RNA, 400 nt
Filed under: uncultured Pseudomonadota bacterium
Lineage: Bacteria; Pseudomonadati; Pseudomonadota
Description: bacterial SSU rRNA
Rfam family: Bacterial small subunit ribosomal RNA
Source: RNAcentral
GGGGUGCUAAUACCGGAUAAGACCACGGUUUCUUCGGAGACUGCGGUAAAAGGUGGGGACCUUNGGGCCUACCGUUAUCGGAUGAGUNCGCGUACCAUUAGCUAGUUGGUGGGGUAAGAGCCCACCAAGGCGACGAUGGUUAGCUGGUCUGAGAGGAUGAUCAGCCACACUGGAACUGAGACNCGGUCCAGACUCCUACGGGAGGCAGCAGUGGGGAAUUUUGCGCAAUGGGGGAAACCCUGACGCAGCAACGCCGCGUGAGUGAUGAAGGCCUUCGGGUCGUAAAGCUCUGUCAGAGGGAAAGAAGUGCAGUGGUGCUAAUACCAUCAUUGCUUGACGGUACCCUCAAAGGAAGCACCGGCUAACUCCGUGCCAGCAGCCGCGGUACAAGGGCGAAUUC